This 388-nucleotide ribosomal RNA is filed under the name uncultured bacterium. Its description in RNAcentral is "bacterial SSU rRNA". It matches the Rfam family "Bacterial small subunit ribosomal RNA", at positions 975 to 1368 of the family's 1533-position model. The record is from RNAcentral.
CUACCCUUGACAUGCUAGGAAUUCUGCAGAGAUGUGGAAGUGCUCGAAAGAGAACCUAGACACAGGUGCUGCAUGGCCGUCGUCAGCUCGUGUCGUGAGAUGUUGGGUUAAGUCCCGCAACGAGCGCAACCCUUGUCAUUAGUUGCUACGAAAGGGCACUCUAAUGAGACUGCCGGUGACAAACCGAGGAAGGUGGGGAUGACGUCAGGUCCUCAUGGCCCUUAUGGGUAGGGCUACACACGUCAUACAAUGGCCGGUACAGAGGGCUGCCAACCCGCGAGGGGGAGCCAAUCCCAGAAAACCGGUCGUAGUCCGGAUCGCAGUCUGCAACUCGACUGCGUGAAGUCGGAAUCGCUAGUAAUCGCGGAUCAGCUUGCCGCGGUGAAUA